RNAcentral lists this transfer RNA (81 nucleotides) under Reticulitermes periflaviceps. RNAcentral's name for it is "tRNA-Tyr". The record is from RNAcentral. Lineage: Eukaryota; Metazoa; Arthropoda; Insecta; Blattodea; Rhinotermitidae.
AGUGGAGUGGCUGAGACAGAUAAGUAGGCGGUAGGCUGUAAAUCUAUUUAGGAGGUUAGUACGUGACUCUUCCACUAUUAU